GGUUGUCAUGCCAAUGGCAUUGCCCGGUAGCUACGUUCGGAACUGAUAAGCGCUGAAAGCAUCUAAGCGCGAAGCAGGCCUCGAGAUGAGUUCUCACUAGACUUUUAAAGUCUCUGAAGGGCCGUUGAAGACUACAACGUUGAUAGGCAAGAUGUGGAAGUGGUGUGAGCCAUUAAGCUAACUUGUACUAAUUACCCGUGAGGCUUAACCAUACAACGCCAAACGCGUUU
Molecule: ribosomal RNA, 230 nt
Rfam family: Bacterial large subunit ribosomal RNA